This 121-nucleotide small nucleolar RNA is filed under the name Fukomys damarensis (Damara mole-rat). Its description in RNAcentral is "Small nucleolar RNA SNORA51 (ENSFDAG00000019448.1)". The record is from RNAcentral. Lineage: Eukaryota; Metazoa; Chordata; Mammalia; Rodentia; Bathyergidae.
CGCCUCUUGGUGCUCACCGUGGAUUGCCUUCUUCCGGUGACUGUAGAAAAGGGAGAGAGAAACAUACUCCACAUGUACUUCAGCGCUGAGCCUGGUCUGUAUAGUGAUUAGGAAGACCUGG